RNAcentral lists this ribosomal RNA (253 nucleotides) under uncultured bacterium. RNAcentral describes it as "partial 16S ribosomal RNA". It matches the Rfam family "Bacterial small subunit ribosomal RNA", at positions 524 to 776 of the family's 1533-position model. The record is from RNAcentral.
UACGGGGGGGGCAAGCGUUAUUCGGAAUUACUGGGCGUAAAGGGCUCGUAGGCGGCCAACUAAGUCAGACGUGAAAUCCCUCGGCUUAACCGGGGAACUGCGUCUGAUACUGGAUGGCUUGAGAUUGGGAGAGGGAUGCGGAAUUCCAGGUGUAGCGGUGAAAUGCGUAGAUAUCUGGAGGAACACCGGUGGCGAAGGCGGCAUCCUGGACCAACACUGACGCUGAGGAGCGAAAGCCAGGGGAGCAAACGGG